AGUUUGGUUCUGCCUCUGUGUGAACUUUUAUGCAACAUCAACAAAUAGCCAUCUUUUAGCAUUGUCUUUAUAUCACACGAAUAUUUGAAAAAUCAAGAUGAUUAUAAUAAUGUGCAAAGGAGUAUUUAAAGCAAAUGCAUUUAAAAUGUGUGUGUGUGUGUAUGUGUGUGCAGAUAAAGAGUAUACCAAAUAAAUAGGUUACUUCUCUGUGGGGCAAAAUUUAGCCACAAUUUCUCCCUUUCAUCUGAUGCAUUUUCUAGGAAUUAGAAAAUAAUGUAGCAAGUAAGGUAGGAGUUGAUAGGGAGUGAAGAAAACUGUUCCCGAAAUAAACAGAGCUGACAUUUUCAGCACACUGAUAAGAACAGACAGUUUGACUUCUUACGGUUUCCGUAUCUUUGCACUCUGAACACUGGGAGAGUGACGUCAGAGUCCCUGUUGGCAGAGGGAAAAGUUUUACUUGAAAACCCUGUAAAAAGAUGAUGUCUUCCACACAUGCAGACCUACUGGAUUCUGGGAAACUCCUGGAAGAUGGGCAUUUCUGAAUCUCAUGGCUGGGUGCGGCGGUGUGGUUCAGACCAUGUUCCAUGGGGAGAGGCGGGCAGCGUCGUCCAGCAACAGGACAGGUGUGCUCCAGCGUCUCCAGGCGCCUAGACCA
This is a long non-coding RNA of Bos indicus x Bos taurus (hybrid cattle), 655 nucleotides long. NCBI's taxonomy places the organism in Eukaryota, Metazoa, Chordata, Mammalia, Artiodactyla, Bovidae. The record is from Ensembl.